UGAGUAACCUGCCCUUAACUCUGGGAUAAGCCUGGGAAACUGGGUCUAAUACCGGAUAUGACUCCUCAUCGCAUGGUGGGGGGUGGAAAGCUUUUUGUGGUUUUGGAUGGACUCGCGGCCUAUCAGCUUGUUGGUGGGGUAACGGCCCACCAAGGCUUCGACGGGUAGCUGGU
This 173-nucleotide ribosomal RNA is filed under the name uncultured bacterium. RNAcentral describes it as "partial 16S ribosomal RNA". It matches the Rfam family "Bacterial small subunit ribosomal RNA", at positions 118 to 291 of the family's 1533-position model. The record is from RNAcentral.